RNA transcript from Oncorhynchus nerka (sockeye salmon), 2143 nucleotides. It is a transcript of the gene named adapter SH3BGRL-like, with no coding region annotated. NCBI's taxonomy places the organism in Eukaryota, Metazoa, Chordata, Actinopteri, Salmoniformes, Salmonidae. The transcript has 13 exons. The record is from RefSeq and is a predicted model, not a curated record.
CGGUGAUGGAGGGUUUGGGGACAAAAAUAGCCUCAGUGGUGUGGCUUGUGUUCGCAGAGUAAUGUCCUGGGUACGCUAUACUAUUAGGUGAGGCAGCCUGUAUCUUUAAUAACCUACGUUAGUACCUCAUUCUACAGAACACGUCGUAACAAAAUGGUUAUAAAAGUAUUUCUAGCUUCUUCAUCAGGAUCGACAGCGAUCAAAAAGAAGCAACAGGAUGUGCUUGGGUUCCUGGAGGCCCUGAAAGUGGACUACGCUCCAUUGGACAUUGCCUGCAAUGAGGACAACCGCAUGUGGAUGAGGGAAAAUGUCCCUGUGGAGAAAAAGCCCACCAACGGGAUCCCCCUACCCCCUCAGAUCUUCAAUGAAGAGAGCUACUGUGGGGACUACGAGACAUUCUUUGACGCUAAAGAAGACAAUGCAGUGUUUGCCUUCCUGGGUCUGCCACCUCCUCCAGGAUCCAAGGAAGCGAAAGAGGCUGAAAAGGCAUUUAUCCUUGAGAAUGGGCCUGUUGAAAAUGGGACUGUUGAGAUUGAGACCGUUGAGAGUGAGACCGUUGAGAACGGAACUGAUGAUGCUGAGGAUGAAGAGAACCUUGAAGCUGAGGAGGUUGAUGAGGAGAAUCUUGAUGAUGACUCACUAAAAAGAGAGGUUCCGAUGGAGGAGUUCAAUGGAGAUGAACACACAGAGGAGGUGGAAGCAGAGGUGGGAGGAGAAACAGGAGAGGAGGCAGCAGAAGAGGCCACAGAAGAAGACGCCGCCGCAGAAGAGAAGGUGGCAAAGGAGGAGGAGGAGGCGGUCGAAGACACAGAGGAAGCCACAGAAGACACUAAGGCCCCCAUGAAGCAGGAAGAAGCCCAGGAAGAAGUAGAGGAUGAGGAGGCUAAGGGAGAAGACGAUCAGCCGGUUUCUGAGGGAGAAGAGGAUUUGGGGUCGGAGGAGGAAGAAGAGCUGCGACAGCUUGAGGCCAUUGUAUCUCUUGCCUUUGAAAUGCUCAAAACCCCUGAUAUCCCCAUCCUUAGGAAGAAGAAGAGGCCCCAGAGGUAACAGAGCAGGAAGAAGAGGACGAGUAGUAACAGCCAGGAAAGGUUUAGGAUGUGAUUUACUACUGCCCAGCCUCGAGAGACCCCCUGUUCCGAUCCUUCCUGACCCCUCAGACCGUCCCACACCCAUCCCACUACCCACGAUGCCCCCACCUGCUCACUGUGAAUGCACAUGUUCCCCUGCUGGACCCUGCUGGCUGAAACCUGCCAAUCACACACUUGUCUGUACGGCCCACCCAUACUCCAGAGAUAACCCCCUGUUUUACCAGAUGUUUAUAUUGCGUAGGGGACUAGGACUAGAGAGGAUGUGUUGCUGUACUUCAUUUGUAUAACAUGGUUAGUUUAUAGUAGCUUCCAUCCAGUGUGUAGCACAAUUACAUAGUGUUAUCAGUUUGUUUUUUUCAGCAGCUUUUCUAAUUGUACAUACACAGUCAUAUGUUAAGUGUUUUAAAGAUUUCAAACAUACUUCUCAUGUUUCAAAUUGAAAAUGGUAGUUUUAUACCACAGUUUGUAUAGGAUGAUGUCACCACCAACAACUUAGCAGUCAAUGACGGACAGCUAUAACCCUGUGAGAAUCUGAGUGAAGAUCACUCUGAAUGGACUUAUAAUCUCAGACUGAAACAGAUCUAUCAAUGCAGUGCCUCUCACUCGAUGCCAGCAAAUAUGUUAGAUCUAUAUGUGUGAAUGCAACCCAGUGACUCUAUGUCUCAAUCCAACAUGAGAAAGACCCUUGUGUAGGGUUUACACUAGCUUUCAUAGGCUAGUGUACAAAGUCAGAUUCCAUAAAUUGCUUUUGGUCUUACUUUAAGGUUAGGGUUAACCAUAAGGUUAGCAGUGUGGUUGGGUUGGGUAAAAUAUUAAUUGUAGAAAUGGGCGGGGUUUAACCAUAAUUAUGACUUUGUGGCUGUGGAAACUAGUGACAACCCUCAUGUAGUGUGCUUUAUGACUGUGUUUGCAGCUACUGGACACCAUUCACUGAACGUUACUAUCUGCUGAUCUACUGUGCACUUUGUUGAAUGUAAAAUGAUGUGGAUGACUAAGAGAUCCCCCUAGAUGUAAGAGAAGUGAAAUGCCAAUAAAGUUGAAUGGUGUGAACAGCU